UACGGAGGGGGUUAGCGUUGUUCGGAAUUACUGGGCGUAAAGCGCACGUAGGCGGACCAUCAAGUUGGGGGUGAAAUCCCGGGGCUCAACCCCGGAACUGCCUCCAAAACUGCUGGUCUUGAGUUCGAGAGAGGUGAGUGGAAUUCCGAGUGUAGAGGUGAAAUUCGUAGAUAUUCGGAGGAACACCAGUGGCGAAGGCGGCUCACUGGCUCGAUACUGACGCUGAGGUGCGAAAGCGUGGGGAGCAAACAGG
Molecule: ribosomal RNA, 253 nt
Filed under: uncultured bacterium
Lineage: Bacteria
Description: partial 16S ribosomal RNA
Rfam family: Bacterial small subunit ribosomal RNA
Source: RNAcentral